GACGGACCGUACGAACGUUAUUCGGAAUUACUGGGCUUAAAGGGUGCGUAGGCGGCUCAGCAAGUUGAAUGUGAAAGCCCUCGGCUUAACCGAGGAAUUGCAUCCAAAACUACUGGGCUUGAGUGAGGCAGAGGUGAGCGGAACUCACGGUGGAGCGGUGAAAUGCGUUGAUAUCGUGAGGAACACCGGUGGCGAAAGCGGCUCACUGGGUCUUUGCUGACGCUGAGGCACGAAAGCUAGGGUAGCGAACGGG
Molecule: ribosomal RNA, 253 nt
Filed under: uncultured bacterium
Lineage: Bacteria
Description: partial 16S ribosomal RNA
Rfam family: Bacterial small subunit ribosomal RNA
Source: RNAcentral